ACACAAAAAUGCACAUACUGUGAGCUCGAUGAGUAGGGCGGGACACGUGGUAUCCUGUCUGAAUAUGGGGGGACCAUCCUCCAAGGCUAAAUACUCCUGACUGACCGAUAGUGAACCAGUACCGUGAGGGAAAGGCGAAAAGAACCCCGGCGAGGGGAGUGAAAAAGAACCUGAAACCGUGUACGUACAAGCAGUGGGAGCACGCUUAGGCGUGUGACUGCGUACCUUUUGUAUAAUGGGUCAGCGACUUAUAUUCUGUAGCAAGGUUAACCGAAUAGGGGAGCCGAAGGGAAACCGAGUCUUAACUGGGCGUUAAGUUGCAGGGUAUAGACCCGAAACCCGGUGAUCUAGCCAUGGGCAGGUUGAAGGUUGGGUAACACUAACUGGAGGACCGAACCGACUAAUGUUGAAAAAUUAGCGGAUGACUUGUGGCUGGGGGUGAAAGGCCAAUCAAACCGGGAGAUAGCUGGUUCUCCCCGAAAGCUAUUUAGGUAGCGCCUCGUGAAUUCAUCUCCGGGGGUAGAGCACUGUUUCGGCAAGGGGGUCAUCCCGACUUACCAACCCGAUGCAAACUGCGAAUACCGGAGAAUGUUAUCACGGGAGACACACGGCGGGUGCUAACGUCCGUCGUGAAGAGGGAAACAACCCAGACCGCCAGCUAAGGUCCCAAAGUCAUGGUUAAGUGGGAAACGAUGUGGGAAGGCCCAGACAGCCAGGAUGUUGGCUUAGAAGCAGCCAUCAUUUAAAGAAAGCGUAAUAGCUCACUGGUCGAGUCGGCCUGCGCGGAAGAUGUAACGGGGCUAAACCAUGCACCGAAGCUGCGGCAGCGACGCUGAUGCGUUGUUGGGUAGGGGAGCGUUCUGUAAGCCUGUGAAGGUGUGCUGUGAGGCAUGCUGGAGGUAUCAGAAGUGCGAAUGCUGACAUAAGUAACGAUAAAGCGGGUGAAAAGCCCGCUCGCCGGAAGACCAAGGGUUCCUGUCCAACGUUAAUCGGGGCAGGGUGAGUCGACCCCUAAGGCGAGGCCGAAAGGCGUAGUCGAUGGGAAACAGGUUAAUAUUCCUGUACUUGGUGUUACUGCGAAGGGGGGACGGAGAAGGCUAUGUUGGCCGGGCGACGGUUGUCCCGGUUUAAGCGUGUAGGCUGGUUUUCCAGGCAAAUCCGGAAAAUCAAGGCUGAGGCGUGAUGACGAGGCACUACGGUGCUGAAGCAACAAAUGCCCUGCUUCCAGGAAAAGCCUCUAAGCAUCAGGUAACAUCAAAUCGUACCCCAAACCGACACAGGUGGUCAGGUAGAGAAUACCAAGGCGCUUGAGAGAACUCGGGUGAAGGAACUAGGCAAAAUGGUGCCGUAACUUCGGGAGAAGGCACGCUGAUAUGUAGGUGAAGCGACUUGCUCGUGGAGCUGAAAUCAGUCGAAGAUACCAGCUGGCUGCAACUGUUUAUUAAAAACACAGCACUGUGCAAACACGAAAGUGGACGUAUACGGUGUGACGCCUGCCCGGUGCCGGAAGGUUAAUUGAUGGGGUCAGCGCAAGCGAAGCUCUUGAUCGAAGCCCCGGUAAACGGCGGCCGUAACUAUAACGGUCCUAAGGUAGCGAAAUUCCUUGUCGGGUAAGUUCCGACCUGCACGAAUGGCGUAAUGAUGGCCAGGCUGUCUCCACCCGAGACUCAGUGAAAUUGAACUCGCUGUGAAGAUGCAGUGUACCCGCGGCAAGACGGAAAGACCCCGUGAACCUUUACUAUAGCUUGACACUGAACAUUGAGCCUUGAUGUGUAGGAUAGGUGGGAGGCUUUGAAGUGUGGACGCCAGUCUGCAUGGAGCCGGCCUUGAAAUACCACCCUUUAAUGUUUGAUGUUCUAACGUUGACCCGUGAUCCGGGUUGCGGACAGUGUCUGGUGGGUAGUUUGACUGGGGCGGUCUCCUCCUAAAGAGUAACGGAGGAGCACGAAGGUUGGCUAAUCCUGGUCGGACAUCAGGAGGUUAGUGCAAUGGCAUAAGCCAGCUUGACUGCGAGCGUGACGGCGCGAGCAGGUGCGAAAGCAGGUCAUAGUGAUCCGGUGGUUCUGAAUGGAAGGGCCAUCGCUCAACGGAUAAAAGGUACUCCGGGGAUAACAGGCUGAUACCGCCCAAGAGUUCAUAUCGACGGCGGUGUUUGGCACCUCGAUGUCGGCUCAUCACAUCCUGGGGCUGAAGUAGGUCCCAAGGGUAUGGCUGUUCGCCAUUUAAAGUGGUACGCGAGCUGGGUUUAGAACGUCGUGAGACAGUUCGGUCCCUAUCUGCCGUGGGCGCUGGAGAACUGAGGGGGGCUGCUCCUAGUACGAGAGGACCGGAGUGGACGCAUCACUGGUGUUCGGGUUGUCAUGCCAAUGGCACUGCCCGGUAGCUAAAUGCGGAAGAGAUAAGUGCUGAAAGCAUCUAAGCACGAAACUUGCCCCGAGAUGAGUUCUCCCUGACUCCUUGAGAGUCCUGAAGGAACGUUGAAGACGACGACGUUGAUAGGCCGGGUGUGUAAGCGCAGCGAUGCGUUGAGCUAACCGGUACUAAUGAACCGUGAGGCUUAACCUU
RNAcentral lists this ribosomal RNA (2565 nucleotides) under Escherichia coli. RNAcentral's name for it is "partial 23S ribosomal RNA". It matches the Rfam family "Bacterial large subunit ribosomal RNA", at positions 377 to 2925 of the family's 2925-position model. Lineage: Bacteria; Pseudomonadati; Pseudomonadota; Gammaproteobacteria; Enterobacterales; Enterobacteriaceae. The record is from RNAcentral.